GAUCAUGGCUCAGAUUGAACGCUGGCGGAAUGCUUUACACAUGCAAGUCGAACGGUAGAGGGGGGCAACCCCUUGAGAGUGGCGAACGGGUGAGUAAUGUAUCGGAACGUGCCCAGUAGUGGGGGAUAACUACUCGAAAGAGUGGCUAAUACCGCAUGAGAACUGAGGUUGAAAGCGGGGGACCUUCGGGCCUCGCGCUACUGGAGCGGCCGAUAUCAGAUUAGGUAGUUGGUGGGGUAAAGGCCUACCAAGCCGACGAUCUGUAGCGGGUCUGAGAGGAUGAUCCGCCACACUGGGACUGAGACACGGCCCAGACUCCUACGGGAGGCAGCAGUGGGGAAUUUUGGACAAUGGGGGAAACCCUGAUCCAGCCAUGCUGCGUGAGUGAAGAAGGCCUUCGGGUUGUAAAGCUCUUUCGGCUGGGAAGAAAUCGCACAGGCUAAUACUCUGUGUGGAUGACGGUACCAGCACAAGAAGCACCGGCUAACUACGUG
RNAcentral lists this ribosomal RNA (494 nucleotides) under uncultured bacterium. Its description in RNAcentral is "bacterial SSU rRNA". It matches the Rfam family "Bacterial small subunit ribosomal RNA", at positions 15 to 507 of the family's 1533-position model. The record is from RNAcentral.